GACGAACGCUGGCGGCGUGCCUAAUACAUGCAAGUCGAACGAACUCUGGUAUUGAUUGGUGCUUGCAUCAUGAUUUACAUUUGAGUGAGUGGCGAACUGGUGAGUAACACGUGGGAAACCUGCCCAGAAGCGGGGGAUAACACCUGGAAACAGAUGCUAAUACCGCAUAACAACUUGGACCGCAUGGCCCGAGCUUGAAAGAUGGCUUCGGCUAUCACUUUUGGAUGGUCCCACGGCGUAUUAGCUAGAUGGUGGGGUAAUGGCUCACCAUGGCAAUGAUACGUAGCCGACCUGAGAGGGUAGUCGGCCACAUUGGGACUCAGACACGGCCCAAACUCCUAAGGGAGGCAGCAGUAGGGAAUCUUCCACAAUGGACGAAAGUCUGAUGGAGCAACGCCGCGUGGGUGAAGAAGGGUUUCGGCUCGUAAAACUCUGUUGUUAAAGAAGAACGUAUCUGAGAGUAACUGUUCAGAUAUUGACGGUAUUUAACCAGAAAGCCACGGCUAACUACGUGCCAGCAGCCGCCGUAA
Molecule: ribosomal RNA, 530 nt
Filed under: uncultured bacterium
Lineage: Bacteria
Description: partial 16S ribosomal RNA
Rfam family: Bacterial small subunit ribosomal RNA
Source: RNAcentral